AAAGAGGACUAGUGGUGGAGUCAUGAGGGAAGCUUAGGGCUUGCAGUCUUCAAGUUUUGCUUAAAUCCUCAUUCUUCCAUUCACUAGCCACUUCCUCUCCCUGAGCCUCAGUUUCUUCAUCUGUCAAAUGGGGGCACUAAUGUCUCCUGUAGUAGAUUGUAUGCAAAAAUGACUUGAAUGCUUUGCCUCCCUGUAUGCAAGCCCCUUUGCAAUGUGACUUUGGAACCCUUCCCAUCAGGAGAGAGAGUACUUCCUCUCCCCUUGAAUCUGGGCUCAGUCAUGUGACUUCUUUUGGCCAGUAGAAUGCAGCAAAGGUGACAUUGCCAGUUCCGAGCCUGGACCUUAAGAGGUCUUGUAGCUUACGCUCAUUCUCUUGGGACCCUCCCGGCUGUCAUGUGAACAUCCUGCUGAAGGAUGACAGACCACUGGAGCAGGAACGGGCUGUUGAGUUGUCGUAGCUGAGGCCAUGCCAGUCCGUCCCUGGCUGAUCCAACAGCUGACCACAGAUGAGUGAGUAAGCCCCACUGAGACCAGAAGAACCCCUAGCUGAGCCCAGCCCAAACUGCCAAUCCAGUGAAAUCACGAGCUAAAUAAAUGGUUGCUGUUUUAAGGCAUUAAGUUUUGGGGUGAUUCGUUAUGCAGCAUUGUUGGGUAAUACGCAGUUUUAUUCAGUGUUAUUGAUGGUAACUGCUGUGACAAACCGAAAAUCUCAAUGCCUUAACCCAGUCAGAGUUUCUUUCUCACUCACGCACAGUCUUAUAUAGGCCAGGACUCUCCUAACCCAUCUUCCUUGGAAGGCAGCUCUCUUUCAAGCAGUGACUCCCCCAGGCCCUCCCUGAGAUUCAUUCCUGAACCCUCUGCAUGUGGAAAGGAAGCCUAAAAAUCAAAAAAGGCUCACCAUCUCUUAAUUGCCUUGGGCCAGGGGUGACGUGUGAUUUCCUUGGCCAGAAGGUAGUCACAGAACCCACUAACUGCAGGGGAGGAUGAGAAUGUGCCCUUCCUGUGUGCCCAGGAUGAGGAAACAGGUUGGAGACCACAGAGCAUCACUUCUGCCACAUUCCUUCCCUCACCAAGCUGCCAUGAGGGGUCAGGCAGGGAAUUAACAUCUAUAGCAAACUGACUCCAGCAUCUAGAACAAGGUGGUUUAAAUAAGGGGCAAUUUGUAGGUGAAGAAUCUGAGGCUCAGAGAGGUUGAGGAAUUUGCCCCAAAUCACACAGCGAGCCAACUGAGCAGCUGUUUGUGGUAGUGAAGGGCUCAGGAUAGAUCUGAGAUUGGACAAGUCUAGCUGCAAAUCCCAACUCUGUCACUUUCUCACUGUGUGACAUUAGGCAAGUUACCCAAUUUCUCUGGGCUUCAGUUUCCUUAUCCACAAAAUGGGGAGAGAGGAAUAGUUCCCACCUCAUAGGGUUGGGGUGAGCACUGAGGAGCUUGUGUGUGUCAAGAGCUUAGCUUAGAUCCUGGGACCUGGGACCUGCUUAAUAAACAUGAGUCACCCAGGCAGACAUGAUGCUAUUUCUGAUCUUCCCUUGCCAGGGUCAGCAAAUUUAUUAUGUUUUGUACAAAUCCUGUCCCUUCCUCCUACCUCUUGUGGUGUGAAUGGUUUUAUUUGCUUGGUUAAGAGAAGAAAAUUUUUCCCUGGUUGGAUACUAGUCAGUCAACAAACCUUUACAGGCAAAAAGCCCCCAACAGCGAUGACUGUUCUGCUGACAGAGGUCUGAAAUGCCUCCAUGCCUGCUUCCUUUAGACUGAAGCUUGGCUCUGUGAGGUGCAUCCCCUGCCCAACUCACCUCUAGCGUUGUCCCAUAGCUGGGAAGGGGACAGGGCCAGAGGGUCUGGAGCUAAUGGGCUCCGGCUGGGGAAGGGCCAGGUCCAGAACAGAUCCUGCUGGGUGUGUCGUCUGUGCAGUCUGAAAAUUUCUGCCCACCCAGAAGGAAAGGUCCAAGAUGGAUGAGGGGUGGGUUCCCCUCCUUUCUCCCCCUCUUAACCCACCUCUGAGUCUCCCCUUGCAACCAGCCAGAGGUUCGUGAGCAUCCGCUGACACUUGGUAGGGCUCAUGGAGCUCACAGUCUGGAGGGCAAGACAGACUCAGCAAACAGCACCCCAGGUAAAGUUACCAUUACAGAUUAGGUGAGCUCUGUGAAGGAGGAGCCACGUGGCGCUGUGGGAGCAUGUACUGGGGGUCUACUUUAAUUUUUUUUUUCUUUGUGAGGAAGAUUCGCCCUGAGCUAACAUCUGUGCCAGUCUUCCUCUAUUUUGUAUGUGUGACGCCUCCACAGCAUGGCUAAUGAGUAGUGUAGGUCCACACCCAUGAUGUGAACCUGCACACCCUGGGCCCCGGAAGCAGAGCACAUGGAACUUUAACCACUUGGCCACAGGGCCAGCCCCCCUAAAUUAUUUUUAAAGUUUUGUCUUGACUAGAUAAUCCUGGGAGGUCAGAGAAUCUCUGGUCUCUCAUGAAAUAAUUAUGCUCAGAUCUGGAAAUUUGCUAAACAAAGGACUGAGUUGGUCUUGGGGUGAGGGUGGUGUUCCAGGCAGGAGGAACAGGCUGUGCAAAUGCCCUGAGGGAAGAACAACCUCUAGGAUUUCAUGGAGGACCAUAUGACUGGAGCUUGAAGGGUAAAGGAAGGAGUGGGGUGUGAAUGGGAAGGGAGAGGGGAGCAGGGGCCAGGCUCCCCGUGGGCAGGACUGGCUACAUAAUUUGUGGGGCCUGGUGCAAAAUGAGAACAUGAGGCCCCUUGUUCAAGAAUUAUUACGAAUUUCAAGAUGGUUACAGUAAAGCAUUAAAGCAAGCAUGGGGCCCUGUGCAACUGCACAGGUCGUACACCCAUCAAGUUGGCUCUGCCCAUGGACCAUAGUAAGAAGGAAGACUUCGCUGUGAGGGCCGUAGGGAGCCAUGGAAGGCUUUAGAGCUGGGGUGAUAAGAUCUGAUUUGCAUAAGCCAUAGUUGCUGUCUUACUACACCACACCUGGAUGGUAUUUGACUUUCUCCUCUCUGCACAUGUGGUCUGAUUCAUUUUCCUAAAAUAUUUUACUCAGAAUGUCACUCCCCUGCUCAAGAACCUGCAGUGGCUCCCACCUCCUAAUCAGAUCUAGUCCAAACUCCCUACCUACACACUCAAGGCCCUUCAUAAUUUCCCCUCACCUGAUUUAGUUAACCUGAUGUCAACAUAGGCUGUGUGCUGCAUGCCACAGAUGAUGAAUCCAGACCCAGGCUUGAGACUGCAGAGAACCAAAAAUGCAGAUUGCCAUGUGAAAUUUCCUGAUUUUUAAAUGUUAACGAUGAAUUCAAAAAGCUAUUAAGAAGCUGUGCAGGCCAGACACACAUGUCCAUGGGCAGGACCUGGCCUACCAGGCAGCCCCGGGGUGCGAUUGGGCUUGGUGAGCGCCUAGAGGUGAGCGUGAUGAAGACGAGUCAGGAAGGACCUAACUGCAUCCUGGAUUCUGGAACACCCUUGCCCUGGCAGAGAUGUGCCCUAGGUGGAACUCACUACCACAGGCACACAUUGAGCACCUACUGUGUGCAAGGCUCUGGGCUAGGUUGGGGAUACAAAGUACACUGUGAGGCUGCACCCUCCUCCAGGGCAGGGGUGGGCCAACUACAAGAGACCCGGGCUCCAGUCCUGACUUGCCCUCCUGCAAUUGCUCUGUGUCCUUGGGUUAGUGUGGUAUAGUACUAACUUUUUUGAGGAAGAUCAGCCCUGAGCUAACAUCUGCCGCCAAUCCUCCUCUUUUUGCUGAGGAAGACUGGCCCUGAGCUAACAUCCAUGCCCAUCUUCCUCUACUUUAUAUGUGGGACGCCUGCCACAGCAUGGCUUGCCAAGCGGUGCCGUGUCCACACCCGGGAUCCGAACGAGUGAACCCAGACGCCGAAGCAGAACAUGUGCACUGAACUGCUGCGCCACCAGGCCAGCCCCUAGGAAACAAUUUUGAGCGAACUAAAACAACGAGUUUGAGGGUUUCUCUCUUUCUACCUGGAAAUUUUUAUAAUCUUGAUACCACUUCUGAUCACCUUCCAACAAAGUCCCCUUUUGCUCAGGGUAAUCCAGGGAGGUUUCUAGUAUUUGAAAACGACCACUCCUAAUACCCAAAAGAAUUUUGCCUCCAAAAGUAGAGAAGGGUUACUCUUCCUCAGUCCUACCCCUUACCUUUGGACCAGUUCUUCCAGCCCCAACCAUCACAGCCUGGUUAGACCCACCUGCUUCUUAAAGGGACAAAGUCCCUUUUGGGAGACUUCUGAUCAUUUAAAUCUCCUUCAACAACACAGGAGUGGUGUUCAAACAUUACCCUGGGAAUUCUUCUUUGCCCUCUCUCAAUAUUUUCCCAGAAAGAGAGCUGAGGCUCCUUUCAGAGCGCCAUCCCUUGUUCUCCUCCCAGCCCCUCAGCUGUCUUGUGCAUCAAUUAGCUGGUGACUAAUUGCUCCCUAAUUGCAAAAUGACUGACGCACCCACACCAGGGACACGGGUCCAUGGGCAUCUUCCAGGGAAAGGUCUUUUGUGAGUCCCGGUGGUUCACUUGUUCCACAAAUGUGGGUUGAACCUUUUCUUUAGUGGCAGCUCUUGUUCCAGGGCCUGGGGACUCAGUGGUGAGCAAGACAGACAGAUUGUCCUGCCUUCAAAGAGCUCAGUCUAGCGGGAGCCAAAUAGCAACAGAUAAAUCAUGUCCGAUAAUAACUGCUAUGAUAAAAAAAAAAUUAGGGGCUGGCCCCGUGGCCAAGUGGUUAAGUUCAUGCGCUCCGAUGCAGGGGGCCCAGUGUUUCGUUGGUUCGAAUCCUGGGCGCGGACGUGGCACUGCUCAUCAAGCCACACUGAGGCAGCGUCCCACAUGCCACAACUAGAAGGACCCACAUCGAAGAAUAUACAACUAUGUACUGGGGGGCUUUGGGGAGAAAAAGGAAAAAAAUUAAAUCUUAAAAAAAAAAAUUUAAAAGGAUAACACAGUAUAGACUGCCAGGAGCUUCACAUAUGGGUGGCGGGAAGGCUUUCUACGGAGGUGACAUUUGAGUUGAGACCUGAAUGGUAAUUAGGAGACAACCAGAGUGAAGAUGAGGAGGAAGCACGGUCCAGGGAGAGAGCACAGGCCAGGGCAGAGGUCAGGUGGGAGGGACCAGCGUGGCCUGUCUGAGCAGCACUCACUGCAUCCACUCAGCCCCAGGGAUUCAGGAGUCAGCCAUCAGGCCGGAGCUGGUUGAGAACGGAGCAAACACCCCUCCCUGCCCUGUUGGCAGAGACUGGGGGCGGGGUUUACUCCUCCUGGCUCCGCCCCCAGAAGGAGGAAUUAUCCAUCUAAUUGGUCAGAUUCCAGGAUCCUGAUUGGUCUUUGGUGGUAACCCGGGGCUCUUUCUUCAAGGUCCCAGACUCCACAGAAACACCCUCCCCCCUUCCCCGGGGGCUUCCAACAGAGCCCCUUAGAGGGUUCACUUUAAAGGGAGUGGCUGCUGUGCUCUGGGAAGCAGUUCCUAAAAAGCUGCCCUUGGGGCACAGGAUGGGAACUGCAAUAUUGACUUGUGUCUGUAGGAGUUCCAAUGUCAUAUUUGAUCUUAACAAUGAUUUCGUACAAAGGACCAAAGAGAAACAGCCAAGCAAGGAGGGCUCCUGCCUCUAAAAAGGGUUGAAUUUAACCCCAGGAACAACUGUAACCGCUAAGUUUAGUGAGAACUGCUACUUAACUCGUACCUCCCUCUUGGUUCAUUAAACUCCUGUUCUCAAAUUAAAAGUGCUGUUGGGUUCGGAGGUUGGGUCAAAGGUGAGCUCAUUCAUUCACAUUAUGAAGUUGUUAAUUUGAAGUGUGCCCAUGUUAGAUCUCUCUGUAAGACACAAGUAUCCAUCUGGGCUGUUCAAUACUCUAUGGGGUUCGAGAGUUUCCUUUUUAGGGCCAAAGCAUUACUGGAGGUGGGCAAUUCCUACUGCUCUCACUUAUUUCUGCCAUGGGAGAAAGGAUCUCCCGCCUGUCACCACAGGUCCCAGGCAUCACUCGGCACCUUGAGGCAGCUCCCAAAAUUGCAGACAGAAGCUGUAGAAGGAAACUGUCAGUCUCUAUAGGGCUUGCCUUGUGUCUCCAAAACUUAUUAAAUGACAUCACAAGUAAGGCUUGGCAAAUAGGAUGUGGGAGUCCGGCCAGUGAGGGCAGACAGGAGCCUGAGGGCAUGGAUGCAGGAAGGAUGGAGAUUGAGACUGCCAAUAGGUGGAGGUGAGGACAGAGCUGAGCACCUCGGAAGGAGAAUGAACAAUACUAGUUAACAUUAGAGAACACUUUUCACAAGUGUGGUCCUCUUUUAUCCUCAGAACCCCUGACUGAUAAAGAAAACGGAGCCUCUGAGAGGUGAUGUGGCUGGCCCAGUCACAUAGCUAUCAGAGAUGGAGUAGGAUUUGAACCCACAUCUUGACUCUAGAGGCCAGGCUCUGAAGAGGCCAGGCUCUGAACAACCGUACAGUCACCCCGUUAUGGGGCCUCUGCUCCAGACCUCGGCUGCCUGCCUGACUCAGCAACUGUGGGUGGCCUCGCUUCUGUGCGUAGGCAGGAGAGCCAGCGAGAAGGCUCCCCGUUUCUUGGAAACCAAAUAUGGCCAGACCAGGCCCUCCAAGCUGACCCCUGAGCUGGGCUUGCUUCUGCCUGCUCAUCUGUGCUGUGGGGCCCUCCCCACUGUGUAACCUCCUGGCUCUGCCCUGGAGAUGCUGGGAGAGCCUCCAUUCAGACCCCUCUCCUAAUAGGAGCUUGUUGAGCAAGUUACUGAAAGAGAACAUGUGAGAUCAGUGUCUCAUCCAUGUCACAAUAACCAGCUCUUAUGCAUCCUUCAGUGCCCAGUGUGAGGUAUCAGGAAAAAUUACUUCCUGACUGGGUGACUUGGA
Equus caballus (horse) is the source of this 6846-nucleotide long non-coding RNA. The record is from Ensembl. Lineage: Eukaryota; Metazoa; Chordata; Mammalia; Perissodactyla; Equidae.